CUCUGUGAUGUCAUUCACAUUUGAGAGCUCCCUGCUGGGUCAGACUGAGGCUCAACUGCUGCUGAAUCUGUACCUUUGCCUAUUUCUACCCCAUCUCAUCCUGAGAGCACCCUCCCACUCAAUCACAGUGCAGCAGCCUGUCCUGCUAACCAAGGAAUCACAGAUAGGGUGGUGGAGCAUCCUCUUGGAGGCACAGUGGAGCUGUCAUCUUGAAGAUGACACCCAUGAGGAGGGCCCAGUCUCCUCCAGAAUGCAAUAUGCACUCUAAUGGCUAUGGGAUGAGGCCAUGUUCCUGAAAGACUGAAAUAAAGGGAGAUGUUCAGCCUCAGGUGUAGAAGCAGUGAGACAAUUUCCCACCACGGAGGAAGAUGAAGAGCAGGAGAGGAGAGGCUGGCGGCUCCCAGGAGCAGAUCACCUGCCCCCACUGCAAGGCCCCCGUGUGCUCAAUAAACUGACCCUUGCGCAGAG
RNAcentral lists this long non-coding RNA (468 nucleotides) under Homo sapiens (human). Its description in RNAcentral is "HSALNT0340584". The record is from RNAcentral. Lineage: Eukaryota; Metazoa; Chordata; Mammalia; Primates; Hominidae.